This 24-nucleotide microRNA is filed under the name Sarcophilus harrisii (Tasmanian devil). Its description in RNAcentral is "Sha-Mir-12475-P26_5p (mature (guide))". Lineage: Eukaryota; Metazoa; Chordata; Mammalia; Dasyuromorphia; Dasyuridae. The record is from RNAcentral.
UAGACAUUCUGAUAUCCCAUUGUU